UACGAAGGGGGCUAGCGUUGUUCGGAUUUACUGGGCGUAAAGCGCACGUAGGUGGAUUGUUAAGUGAGAGGUGAAAUCCCAGGGCUCAACCCUGGAACUGCCUUUCAUACUGGCAAUCUUGAGUUCGGAAGAGGUAAGUGGAAUUCCAAGUGUAGAGGUGAAAUUCGUAGAUAUUUGGAAGAACACCAGUGGCGAAGGCGGCUUACUGGUCCGAUACUGACACUGAGGUGCGAAAGCGUGGGGAGCAAACAGG
RNAcentral lists this ribosomal RNA (253 nucleotides) under uncultured bacterium. RNAcentral's name for it is "partial 16S ribosomal RNA". It matches the Rfam family "Bacterial small subunit ribosomal RNA", at positions 524 to 776 of the family's 1533-position model. The record is from RNAcentral.